Molecule: ribosomal RNA, 429 nt
Filed under: Chloroflexota bacterium
Lineage: Bacteria; Bacillati; Chloroflexota
Description: Chloroflexi bacterium partial 16S ribosomal RNA
Rfam family: Bacterial small subunit ribosomal RNA
Source: RNAcentral
UGGGGAAUAUUGCACAAUGGGCGCAAGCCUGAUGCAGCUAUGCCGCGUGUAUGAAGAAGGCCUUCGGGUUGUAAAGUACUUUCAGCGGGGAGGAAGGGAGUAAAGUUAAUACCUUUGCUCAUUGACGUUACCCGCAGAAGAAGCACCGGCUAACUCCGUGCCAGCAGCCGCGGUAAUACGGAGGGUCCAAGCGUUAAUCGGAAUUACUGGGCGUAAAGCGCACGCAGGCGGUUGAUUGAGUCAGAUGUGAAAUCCCCGGGCUUAACCCGGGAAUUGCAUCUGAUACUGGUCAGCUAGAGUCUUGUAGAGGGGGGUAGAAUUCCAUGUGUAGCGGUGAAAUGCGUAGAGAUGUGGAGGAAUACCGGUGGCGAAGGCGGCCCCCUGGACAAAGACUGACGCUCAGGUGCGAAAGCGUGGGGAGCAAACAGG